AGGCAGUGAGAGGCCACCGGCCCUUUGUUGAUCUGCAGGGUAUCAAACUUCGAACAUGACAAGCAUAAAAGCCUGCAGCUCGAGGAGACAGGGUGUCACAAUUACCAGGGCGAAACUGCUGGGCUGCGAAAGGCGGGACAGGGAGUGGAACCGUCUUCAACCGUUCCGGGAGUUCUGGUGUCUGGUCCGCUCCCGGCUGUUGGUCGCAGGGCAGAGGGUCUAGGAUGCCAGCUGGCUGCGGGCUGGGAGAUGCAGGGUGUUUACUGCCACUCCAUUUCACUGGGAUUAGCACCCAUAUGCAUUGUGGUCUUUUUGUUUGAGUUCAUCAAACUUCUGAUCCUAAGUCUGCACCUUUAGCAUACUGGGCCUGAACCAUAAGGCACAAGGAAUGAGCCCCUCAUCGUGAGAGUGCAUGUGACAGGAGCAAAGGAAGCGGCAGCUCAGGAAAGACAAGAAAGAAAGAAUGUUGCCAGCUGAACCAAAACAUUCUACUGCUUGUAUGUCACCAUAUAAGAAACAUAUGUCUCCUGAUUCCAGAGAGUACUGGGGAUCAAUAUCGGACUACAGC
Molecule: long non-coding RNA, 568 nt
Organism: Gorilla gorilla gorilla (western lowland gorilla)
Lineage: Eukaryota; Metazoa; Chordata; Mammalia; Primates; Hominidae
Exons: 6
Source: RefSeq, a predicted model, not a curated record